GAUCUCAGCUCAAGCAUAAGACCCGCUGAAUUUAAGCAUAUAAUUAAGCGGAGGAAAAGAAACUAACCAGGAUUCCCUCAGUAAGGGUGACUGAAGCGGGAGUAGCUCAAGAUGUGAAUCUGCGCCGUUCUGCGGCGCCGAAUUGUGGUCUAUAGGCGUGUGCGUUACCUGGCCGGGCCAAGUCCCUUGGAACAGGGCGGCUGAGAGGGUGAGACCCCCGUUCGCCUGGCCUUUGGAGCGCGCGUCGACGAGUCGAGUUGUUUGGGAUUGCAG
This 273-nucleotide ribosomal RNA is filed under the name uncultured Stichotrichia. RNAcentral describes it as "partial Eukaryotic large subunit ribosomal RNA". It matches the Rfam family "Eukaryotic large subunit ribosomal RNA", at positions 1 to 285 of the family's 3401-position model. The record is from RNAcentral. Lineage: Eukaryota; Ciliophora; Spirotrichea.